This 298-nucleotide signal recognition particle RNA is filed under the name Homo sapiens (human). RNAcentral describes it as "Metazoan signal recognition particle RNA (ENSG00000203411.3)". It matches the Rfam family "Metazoan signal recognition particle RNA". From Rfam's summary of the family: The signal recognition particle (SRP) is a universally conserved ribonucleoprotein. It is involved in the co-translational targeting of proteins to membranes. The eukaryotic SRP consists of a 300-nucleotide 7S RNA and six proteins: SRPs 72, 68, 54, 19, 14, and 9. Lineage: Eukaryota; Metazoa; Chordata; Mammalia; Primates; Hominidae. The record is from RNAcentral.
GCCGGGCAUAGUGGCAGGCGCCUGUAGUCCCAGCUACUCGGGAGGCUGAGGCAGGAGAAUGGCGUGAACCCGGGAGGCGGAGCUUGCAGUGAGCCGAGAUUGCAUCACUGCACUCCAGCCUGGGCGACAGAGUCAGACUCUGUCUCAAAAAAAAAAAAAAAAAAAAAAGAGAGUUGGUGUUUUUUUGUGUUGUCUUUUGAGACGGAGUCUCGCUCUGUCGCCCAGGCUGGAGUGCAGUGGCGCCAUCUCGGCUCACUGCAAGCUCCACCUCCCGGGUUCACGCCAUUCUACUGCCUCA